UGGGGAAUAUUGGACAAUGGGGGCAACCCUGAUCCAGCAAUGCCGCGUGUGUGAAGAAGGUCUUCGGAUUGUAAAGCACUUUCGACGGGGACGAUGAUGACGGUACCCGUAGAAGAAGCCCCGGCUAACUUCGUGCCAGCAGCCGCGGUAAUACGAAGGGGGCUAGCGUUGCUCGGAAUGACUGGGCGUAAAGGGCGUGUAGGCGGUUUACACAGUCAGAUGUGAAAUCCCCGGGCUUAACCUGGGAGCUGCAUUUGAUACGUGUAGACUAGAGUGUGAGAGAGGGUUGUGGAAUUCCCAGUGUAGAGGUGAAAUUCGUAGAUAUUGGGAAGAACACCGGUGGCGAAGGCGGCAACCUGGCUCAUGACUGACGCUGAGGCGCGAAAGCGUGGGGAGCAAACAGGAUUAGAUACCCUGGUAGUCCACGCUGUAAACGAUGUGUGCUAGAUGUUGGGUAACUUUGUUAUUCAGUGUCGCAGUUAACGCGUUAAGCACACCGCCUGGGGAGUACGG
Molecule: ribosomal RNA, 513 nt
Filed under: uncultured bacterium
Lineage: Bacteria
Description: partial 16S ribosomal RNA
Rfam family: Bacterial small subunit ribosomal RNA
Source: RNAcentral